CUGGCCAGACAUGACCAAGGGCUCGCCAUCAUUGGGAAGGAACCCAAAGGGAGCAGUUUAGGUAGGAGAGACUACGAGUAGGAGCCAGGCAAUGGAUUUUAUUGAGGAGUUUUUGUUAAGAGUCAAAUUCAAAGGAGGGAAUAUUUAUUGAGCACCUAUUCUGCGUCAGAAGUCAUGCAAAGCUUUAGGAAUUCAAGAAAAAAAGGCAUGGUUCUUUUCUUGAGGAUUGAUAGUCUAGUAAAGAAGUUCUUCAUAAAAAACAGGUUGAUGUGUUCAUUCUAGGGGGGAUACUGUAGCAAGCGAAGGAGUUUGCAGCAGGAAAGAGAGGCUUCUGUGGGCUUAGCCUGCCAUUUGAACAAGACUUUGCCAGGAAAAUAAAGGAGCAGAUGGGUCUUUCAGGCAGAGAAGACAAAAUCGGCAAAGUCAAGAAGGUAUGGAAGAGCCUAGUGUGAUUGGAAAGCAGGGUGGGGCUGUGUGGAUGAUAAAUAGGUGACCUCAGGGGAGAUCUAGACCUUGAGAAGGAGCUGGGCUUAACAGUAUGAGGGGGUUCUCAUUAAAUACUCACAUCUGUGCUUUAGAAAUUCUGUCCUGGAAACAGUGAGAAGGACAAGUGGGCAGAGGGCAAGAAUAGAAUUGUGACACAUCUUAGGAGAUCAAGGAAGAAAGGUCAUGGCAGAGAGCUGAAUGUCUGGUGUGUGUGUGUGUGUGUGUGUGUGUGUGUGUACGCUAUUGGGGCUUGAACCCAGGGCUUGAAGCAUGCUAGGCAAGCAUUCUGCCACUGAGCUACAUCCCCAGCCUUCUUCAGCCUCAUUUUACAACUUUUAUUUUGAGAUACAGUGUUUCUAAGUUGCCAAGGCUGCCCCUGACCUUGUGAUCCUCCUGCCUUGUCUCCUGGGUGUCUGGGAUCACAGUGUGCCCCACGGUGCCUGAAGAGUUUGUAUUGACUGUUAUAGAAUGGAUCUGAUGGCUGGAGACAAGGAGUUUGGGAAAGGAAGAAAGGCUCAUUCUUUUUUUUUUUUUUUUUUUUGGUACCAGGAUUGAACCACUGAGCCACAUCUCCCGCCCUUUUUUUUUUUUAUAUUUUAUUUUGAGACAGGGUCUUGCUGAGUUGUUUAGGACCUUGCUUAUUUGUUGAGGCUGGCUUUGCAUCCACAAUCCUCCUGCCUCAGCCUCCUGAGCUACUGGGAUUACAGGUGUGCACCACUGUGCUCAGUUCAUUCUUUUUUUCUUCUGAUUCAGAUAAGCUCCAGGGAUACUGCUCCCCCGUGAUACACUCCCUCCAGGUUUUCCCUCCUCUCUCCCAAGUCUGCCGCAGUUGGGCUGAGAUGAGAUCCAGCUAUGUGCUCUUACAGAUCAUGCGACAUUUCUCAGAAGCAGAUGGACUAGGGACACACUUUAAGAAAUAGUGAGUCUUACCAUGUUUGUAUGAAUAAGUCAAAUUAUACUCUACUGUCAUAUAUAACUAAAAUGACAAAAAUUAAAAAUUAAAAAAAAGAGACAGUGAGUUCUCAAAGGUUCCCAUUAGAAGUACUAACUAAACUUUUGCAAAACUUAUUUCAGUAUCGUAUAUUAUUUAAGGAUGGGCUGUUAACCUAGUAGGGGUCGGGAGGGAAUAUAUAUAUCCCAUAUAGUAAAAGACGUACACAUUAGAAAUGUGCAGCUUGGUAAUUGGUCAUAAAGCAAUCAUCUCUAUAACCAUUAGGCUGGUUCAGAAAUGAGAAACUUUAGCUGGGGGUGUAGCUCAGUGGUAUAGUUGUAAAGUGCUAGCAAGCAUGGGGGCUGACUUCAAUCCCAGCACACAGAUAGAAAAAAAAAGAGAUGAGUAACAUUGCUGGAACCCAUAGAAGACCCUUCUAGGCCCCCCUCUUGUCCACUACCUUCUUGCCCAACUCCCCAGGAGAACCACUAUCUUGAUGAAAGUACGUAAAAGAGAAAGAGCGGGGGAGGGAGGGAAGGGAGGGAGGAAAGGAGGGAAAGAAAACACUUGCAAGUAAAUAUGCAAUAAAAACAAAUCUUCCUUUGAUUUUUCCUUUCCUAUUUAGAUUAUUUUUUUCCCCCUCAUCUUCCUCUCUAGUCAAGUUUAUGGGUCCUGAAACUGUCAUUUGGUUCAACAUAUACAAUAGUAACAAAAUUGUGAUCUGGGCUGUCCUUUGCUUUAACUGUCCAUAAAGUUGUGGCCAUUUAUCAACCAAUCAGCUCUGUAACUUUCUGUAGCUUAUGCAGCUCUGAGCUUACAGAAAGUCCAUGAGUCUUGAAAGAGCUUUUGCUUUGUAUAAACAGUGGUGAGAAUUUCUCCCCUGGAACAUUUAAAGGGAGGGCAAAGAAGGGAAAGGGAUGCGUUGUUGAGCCUGGAGUCUUCACACUGACUUAUUUAGGUUCUGGGUGCCUUUAGAAGCUUCAAAGUUAUUUGGCAAUCCAUCUUCCUAAGGCUUCUUCUUCUUCUUCCUCUUUUUUUUUUUUUUUAACAACAGGUUAAAUUGGCCA
RNAcentral lists this long non-coding RNA (2484 nucleotides) under Marmota monax (woodchuck). The record is from RNAcentral. Lineage: Eukaryota; Metazoa; Chordata; Mammalia; Rodentia; Sciuridae.